RNAcentral lists this transfer RNA (65 nucleotides) under Climacostomum virens. It matches the Rfam family "tRNA". From Rfam's summary of the family: Transfer RNA (tRNA) molecules are approximately 80 nucleotides in length. Lineage: Eukaryota; Ciliophora; Heterotrichea; Heterotrichida; Climacostomidae. The record is from RNAcentral.
CGAUUAGCUCAGCGGUAGAGCAAUUGACUGCAGAUCAAUAGGUAACCGGUUCGACUCCGGUAUCG